UUGUGCCCAUAGACUACUCACAUAUAGUAUGUCUUGUCCCAAACUACGUUUCAAUCGCAUUAGUGUGGAGAAUCGUGCUCAAAGUAAAUUUAAUCAUGCGAGAUUAACGUUAACCAUGUCUACUGUGAUUUGGAUCGUAUAUUUGGAGGACAACGCGCCUCCUCCACAACAAUGAGGAGGGCUGCCUUAUUUUCAAAUAAAUAUGGUGAUAUAGCCGAUUAUUGACCGUAUGGUAAUUAUUAGGGAUAAAUUUAUCUUGAAACUCAAACUCA
RNAcentral lists this long non-coding RNA (272 nucleotides) under Phoenix dactylifera (date palm). Its description in RNAcentral is "long non-coding RNA (PDAC_LNC002879)". Lineage: Eukaryota; Viridiplantae; Streptophyta; Magnoliopsida; Arecales; Arecaceae. The record is from RNAcentral.